RNAcentral lists this ribosomal RNA (446 nucleotides) under uncultured bacterium. RNAcentral describes it as "bacterial SSU rRNA". It matches the Rfam family "Bacterial small subunit ribosomal RNA", at positions 330 to 792 of the family's 1533-position model. The record is from RNAcentral.
CCCAGACUCCUACGGGAGGCAGCAGUGGGGGAUAUUGCACAAUGGGGGGAACCCUGAUGCAGCGACGCCGCGUGGGUGAAGGAGUGCUUCGGCAUGUAAAGCCCUAUCGGCAGGGAAGAAGCAAGACGGUACCUGACUAAGAAGCCCCGGCUAACUACGUGCCAGCAGCCGCGGUAAUACGUAGGGGGCGAGCGUUAUCCGGAUUCACUGGGUGUAAAGGGAGCGUAGACGGCCAUGCAAGCUCGGUGUGAAAGGUGCGGGCACAACCCGCAGACUGCACUGAGAACUGUAUGGCUGGAGUGCCGGAGGGGCAGGCGGAAUUCCUGGUGUAGCGGUGAAAUGCGUAGAUAUCAGGAGGAACACCGGUGGCGAAGGCGGCCUGCUGGACGGCGACUGACGUCGAGGCUCGAAAGCGUGGGGAGCGAACAGGAUUAGAUACCCGUGUA